This is a non-coding RNA of Triticum aestivum (bread wheat), 125 nucleotides long. Lineage: Eukaryota; Viridiplantae; Streptophyta; Magnoliopsida; Poales; Poaceae. The record is from Rfam.
UUUUUACUCCCUCCGUCCAGAAAUACUUGUCGGAAAAAUGCAUAAAAAUGAAUGUAUCUAGAACUAAAAUACAUCUAGAUAUAUCCAUUCCUCCGACGAGUAUUUCCGGACGGAGGGAGUAAUAA